This 273-nucleotide ribosomal RNA is filed under the name uncultured bacterium. RNAcentral's name for it is "partial 16S ribosomal RNA". It matches the Rfam family "Bacterial small subunit ribosomal RNA", at positions 523 to 796 of the family's 1533-position model. The record is from RNAcentral.
AUACGUAUGUCGCAAGCGCUAUCCGGAAUUAUUGGGCGUAAAGCGAGUCUAGGCGGCUUGUUAAGUCAGAUGUGAAAAUGCGGGGCUCAACUCCGUAUUGCGUUUGAAACUGGCAGGCUAGAGUACUGGAGAGGUGGGCGGAACUACAAGUGUAGAGGUGAAAUUCGUAGAUAUUUGUAGGAAUGCCGAUAGUGAAGACAGCUCACUGGACAGAUACUGACGCUAAAGCUCGAAAGCGUGGGGAGCGAACAGGAUUAGAAACCCCGGUAGUCC